UACGAAGGGGCUAGCGUUGCUCGGAAUCACUGGGCGUAAAGCGCACGUAGGCGGCUUCUUAAGUCAGGGGUGAAAUCCUGGAGCUCAACUCCAGAACUGCCUUUGAUACUGGGAGGCUCGAGUCCGGGAGAGGUGAGUGGAACUGCGAGUGUAGAGGUGAAAUUCGUAGAUAUUCGCAAGAACACCAGUGGCGAAGGCGGCUCACUGGCCCGGUACUGACGCUGAGGUGCGAAAGCGUGGGGAGCAAACAGG
Molecule: ribosomal RNA, 252 nt
Filed under: uncultured bacterium
Lineage: Bacteria
Description: partial 16S ribosomal RNA
Rfam family: Bacterial small subunit ribosomal RNA
Source: RNAcentral